Molecule: long non-coding RNA, 1509 nt
Filed under: Homo sapiens (human)
Lineage: Eukaryota; Metazoa; Chordata; Mammalia; Primates; Hominidae
Description: long non-coding RNA NONHSAT182272.1
Source: RNAcentral
CUUCCUAAGGAAUUGCUGUAUCACGGUCUAGGGGAGUUUCCGAGCUCUGAGAAGUUUCUCUACAGCUUCUGAGGUGAGGAUCCACCCUGCAUGAAGGAUACUGGGCCACUCAGGCCUUCUCCCACUCCGCGGCAGGAUCCUAGCGCCUGAGGACACUGGAGCCAUUCCAGGUGAGAUCGGCUGUGUGACUAGCCUGCAGUGCAGCAGACAUUUGUGUAGGGCGUCUCUCCACACAUCAGAUGAGCUUCUUGACUCAGGCUAAUUUGAGCCUGUUUCAUUAUGACCUGGGUGAGAAGACACCCGAAGCCAGAGAGCACUUUGGUGCUUUUUAUGACCUUGAGAGUUUCUCUUCCUAAUAAGCUGUUUCCUGGCAUCAUUCUAGCCAAGCCCCCUUUCCCGUUUGAUAACCAAUGUUGCUGUGUUGCCAUUCCCCUCCCCUGAGUUUAAAACAUUUGACAACCUGCAUUCUAAAUGAAAAAAAUCCUGAUAUGCAACCAGUCUUGUCUUUCACAAAACUAAACAAGAGUUUCUCUUUGGCUUAACAAAAUCUUAGAGCAGCCAACCUUGGAGUGUAUUUUAGUUACUUUACAUCCAAACUGUAGGAUUUAGUGAAAAGCCAUGUGUUUACUACCAUGAAGUAGAAAUGUGUUGAAAACACACCAUCCAAUUGCUAUGGUGCAGGCUCUUCUAACAGCCUAUCGGAACUUCCUUCACUUCACAAAUGAUACACUCUAGGGUAGAACUUCCUAUUUUUAAAACCGCAUAAAUUCCCCCACCCAUUCCCCUUACAACACUUCAACAAUCUGAUUACGUCGUAUUUUCAUUUUCCUACUGUGAUUGACGCUUUAUGUGAAACCUCACCAAGCUCUGAGAAACUCCUAGGAAUGCAGUCACACUAAGUGAGAUCCACUUUUGCUGUUUUUCCUUGAUUUGAAGGUCAGAUGGACAUUCAGUAUUUUCCCCAGUUGGGUUCACUGCAAACAGGAUCAGUCUGGAAAACAUAUUCUUGUCCCAUGACGAGAAUCCAGAGGGAACUAUGUUUGCCUUUUCAUUGAUGUGAUUAUCAAUGUGGAUUUUGUAGUUUAAAAACAAAGCAACUCCAUUUUGCAACUGCAUUCUCCAUAGAAAUUUGACCUUUGGUGGGGCUGACUAAUCUUAUCAACAAAUCGGUCCCACAAUGAUUAUUCCACCCAUUAAUUCUCAGCAACAAAUGGUAAGCAAGAUGGCCAGGAAGGAUGACUGACUCCCUCGCAGGCUCGGCCAGGCUUCAGGCCCUAUCUUUGGAUCUGUGUUCAUCAUGGUGAUUGUCAACUGCAAGCCUGAUUUGAUAGCCUUUCCUCUCGUGGUAUUACUCGGAGGUAAUGUGCAAGCAGAGAGACCCGGAUGCAAAUUCUGCUCUAUAGUUGACCAUUAUCUUACAAUGAUCUCAGUUUCCCAUAACACCAAUUUCUAUGUUUUCCAUUUAUAAACACCUGUAAUUCGCCUUGCUUGGCUUUGUGAUGUGUGAGU